Molecule: ribosomal RNA, 509 nt
Filed under: uncultured bacterium
Lineage: Bacteria
Description: bacterial SSU rRNA
Rfam family: Bacterial small subunit ribosomal RNA
Source: RNAcentral
UUCUGGCUCAGGAUGAACGCUAGCGGCAGGCUUAACACAUGCAAGUCGAGGGGCAGCGGGAUGUAGCAAUACAUUGCCGGCGACCGGCGGAUGGGUGCGUAACGCGUAUGCAACCUACCUUAUACAGGGGAAUAACCUUUCGAAAGGGAGACUAACACCCCAUGGUAUUGAUUUAAGGCAUCUUAGAUUAAUUAAAUAUUUAUAGGUAUAAGAUGGGCAUGCGUAUGAUUAGCUAGUUGGUAAGGUAACGGCUUACCAAGGCGACGAUCAUUAGGGGUUCUGAGAGGAAGGUCCCCCACACUGGUACUGAGACACGGACCAGACUCCUACGGGAGGCAGCAGUGAGGAAUAUUGGUCAAUGGGCGCAAGCCUGAACCAGCCAUGCCGCGUGCAAGGAAGACGGCCUUAUGGGUUGUAAACUGCUUUUACAUAAGACUAACCGUAUAUUUGCGAAUAUACCUGAAUGUAUUAUGAGAAUAAGGAUCGGCUAACUCCGUGCCAGCCGCCGC